CGUUAAGGCUCCCAAUUGUUCCUUUGGAACAAGUGCAGGGCAGGUGGCCAUGGCUUGAGAAAAGACUGAGCAGACAGCAAGAUGAACAACAUGGUUUUUUGUCAGAAGCCAAACUGCAGCAAAUUGGAAACAGUGGUGCAUGCGAACAUAGGUCAGAUUGAAAAUCGAUGCCUUCUUACAUCCCUAGUAUUCACUGGCAGACUCGUCCUCCGUGCGCCGUGAACCAAAAAAGUUUGAGAACCACUGGACUACAGGAAAAGGCAAUCACGCAUACUUCAGUGCCCAUAAAAGCUUGGCUGAAAAGAUAAAACAGAAUAAGGAAUUAUGUUGGCUUUGCGCUCUCCGCCCCAUCCCAUUCAUGCCCCUUCUGGUGUGUAACAAGGCACAGCACCAUUUGGGGUAUUAAUUACUUAAAAUCUUGAUGGGCACAGACCACCACCACCACUCAGCAAUGAACACAAAUAUGCAUAAGAUUGCAGUGCUAGCCAUGCUUGCCUUUAAACUAUAACAGUUUAACCUGGUGCCCUCCAGAUGUUUUGGACUACAACUCCCAUCAUCCCUGACCAUUGGCCAUGAUGACUGGGGCUGAAUGGGCACUAUAGUCCAAAUCAUCAGAAAGGCAGCACCACGUUGGCUACCCCUGUGUGAGAACUUAAAGGACUUCUGAAUAAACAUGUCAGGUAUUUAGUAGAGAGUUAAGAAAGUGAGGAAAGCAAAGUUGCUGCCAAACCUUGGACCCCAUGGCUCAGAAAUAUGAAUCGUUUCAGCUAAGAGGAGAGUAUUAUAAGUCUAUAGUUAUUCUUUGGCUCAGAUUUUCAUCUCAAAUGGAGAAAAAAACCACCUGUUUCUCCCUUACUAUGCAGCCAGAUCAGGGGUCCAAAUGGUUUCUGAUUGGCUUGGAUUCAGCAGAGCUAUUUCUCGUUUGGGGCAGGAUAACAGCUCAGCUUAUUCCAAGCAAAUCCAAGUCAAGACUGGAGGAGCUUGCCAAUCAAGAACUGAAGUGCCUGCCAUGUAAACAUUCACAUGGGGAAGAAGGGUCAGCACUCAGAGGGAGAGGAUAUGACACUGUGUAAAAUAUCACUGUUAUUUUAUUCUGCACUUUCAUGGGGCUUCAAGUGUCUCCAACUACACAGAUUUGCAGAAAAGGUCAGCCAAAAUUAUCAGGGAAGUGGAAGAAAGGCAACAACAGUCAGAGGGAAAGGCAACUAAGUGGGGGGAAGGGAAACGAUAAAGUUUACAAAGUAGCGUAGAGAGAAAAUUAUGUUUUUCUCCCACUCACAAUAGCAGAACUUAGGAUCAUUAAUCAAAACUGAUUAGCUGAAGAGAUGAGGACAGACAAAAAUAUAUUAGUAUUGUUUUCAGAUUUCUUUAUACCUUGUUUGAUUUUUAUAUUGUAUAUUGAUGUGAAGGUUGGGGGGUUGUAUUGUAUUUGAUUUCUAUUUUAUACAUGGUUUUUAUAUUCUUUGUAUGAUACUAGACCUCUACUUUGUAGAAUGCUGUGAAAUUCUGCUCUUUUGUAUUUGAUUUUUAUUUUCUGUACAUUGCUUGGAGAUUGUUUUGAAUAUAAAGGAAUUAAGAAAUCUUCUAAAUAAAUAAAAGCCAGUACCCUUUCCUCAUGUACCUCAUCUGAGGGAGGUGUGGUGAGCAGCCACAUAAGAGCAGGCCUUUUCAGUGGCCCCCAUUUGUGGAAUGCUCUCCCCAGGGAGACAAGCCUGGCACCAUCAUUGUCACUUUUUAUGUGUCAAGCAAAGAUGCUUCUAUUCACCCUGGCCUUUGGUAGUUAAGUUAGCCUCUACUGUGGUGCUCAUCUUUUAGCGGGGUAGGGUAGGACUUAUUGUGUUGGUGAAUGAGAAUUUUAUGAAUAUUGUAUUGUACAUAGUUUGCUACAUUUUUCUAAUGGAUUUCAUCUGUUCGUAAUUUAUCUUGUCAAGUAAAUGUGAGUCUUUUUUUGCAUGAAACACUAACUAAUAAAUAUAAAUAAAUACUU
Long non-coding RNA from Rhineura floridana, 1987 nucleotides. RefSeq lists it as uncharacterized. NCBI's taxonomy places the organism in Eukaryota, Metazoa, Chordata, Lepidosauria, Squamata, Rhineuridae. The record is from RefSeq and is a predicted model, not a curated record. The transcript has 4 exons.